Hemicordylus capensis (graceful crag lizard) is the source of this 1448-nucleotide long non-coding RNA. RefSeq lists it as uncharacterized. The transcript is spliced from 3 exons. The record is from RefSeq and is a predicted model, not a curated record. NCBI's taxonomy places the organism in Eukaryota, Metazoa, Chordata, Lepidosauria, Squamata, Cordylidae.
ACAGACGCAGAAAAUGGCGGCCACCAUGCCACUCAAAACUUCAAACUGGCUCGGCACACCCCUAGACUGGGUGGGGCUUGGGCCAGCCCUUAACAGGCCUCGGAAUCAGUGCUGCUCAGGAGCUACAGAGGUCAUUGCAAGCCGGCACUUAACUCUCAAACAAGGAUAAAGAUUCAGGACAACAACACCCACUGGAUAGGGUUUAAACUAAGAUAUUGACCUAACUGUUUGAAGGUGGAACCUAACUCAGAAGAAAGAGCCAGGUCAGCUACCUAAUUGUUCCAGGCUGACCUGGGAGAAUUUAUAACCAGACCAAAUCAGGAAGUGUCCACAAGACAAGAAAAUACCAGAGAGAAGCAUCUCAUGUUCUUUAUUGGGCAUUUCCUAGUUCAAACAGAAACUUUUUUAUGUGUUCCCUGGAACAAAAGUGAAAGCUGCCCCAUAGAUUUCAGAUUUCAAUGGAGGAAUCAAAGAGUUUGACAUGGCAGUGACUGGACACCAGUGUGCCCCCUCCACACAACAAAAAGUACCAGCAAAGACAUGAGUUAAGGCUUUGUGUGGGAAAAUGUUUAAUUACAUCUAUGGCACCCUAGAGAAUCAGGGCCCAUGGCACCGAACAGCUUUUACUGGAUGUUCAAUCUGUGUGUCACUUUAGACCUAACUCUAUGGGGAGAUACGAUGGGAUAUCUGGAGGGUGGAGCCCUCUUCAUCUGGAGAAGAUGCUGCCCUUUUCUGCCUGUUCUGGAACUCUUUGGCUCAUUUCAAGGAGUAACUGGAAGGUGCUGGGUUCAAGUUCUGAUUUAUUAGUUUUCUUGUGCCGCAACAGUUCUGAUUGUAAAACAGCCUUGGAAAGGUCAGAAGCAUCUUCUAGACUUGAUGAACCUGCACCAAGUGAUGAGAGUGCACAUUGGAAUGUUGAUGAUGACCCCACUCUUCCUCCAAGGAGGUCAGUGUGGCUGGCCUGACUGUGAGUAGGAGCUCAAGGGAAAGAUGGCAGCCUCAGCUGUGGCCAAGCAGUCACUGGACCACAGACAGCUCUGAGCUGGCAGCUUCCUAUGAUGAAGCCUCAUAGCCCUCUUGGGCCAAACUACCUCGCCCCAACGCCCUCCUCUUCAUGCUGGGCAGCAAAUUUUCCGCCAACAGAGGAGGAAGAACCAUGGAAGGCAUUGAGACUUGGCUUUUGCUUCACAUGACCUUUCUAUCAGCAGCACGACAUAGUGUGCUGUGGGUGUCCAUGUUCUGGGAAUGCUCCCCUCAGCAGUCAGAAGCCCCUCCCUGUCCACAGAACAUCUUUUGGAAGGCAGGAGUUCAAGAUAGAAUCAGACACAGUCUUUCUCUCCUGCAACCUUCACCAGAGUAGUGACAUCCUCCACGAGCAACUGGGUAAGAUCAGACCAGAAUACUUACCCACAUCAAAGUUUCUAAAUACCAUUAAAUAGAGUGCUAGA